Syngnathus typhle (broad-nosed pipefish) is the source of this 1717-nucleotide long non-coding RNA. RefSeq lists it as uncharacterized. The transcript is spliced from 3 exons. The record is from RefSeq and is a predicted model, not a curated record. NCBI's taxonomy places the organism in Eukaryota, Metazoa, Chordata, Actinopteri, Syngnathiformes, Syngnathidae.
GUGGCAAAAUGGCCGCCCCUGAGAUAGAUCAAACCAGGUGGAUUUUGCCUAUUUAAUUCCUAUUCCACAAACAUUGCUCAAAACACUGUGUUUUGACUAGUUGGGUUGCACAGAACAUAUUAUUCCAAAGAAAACCUUUGGGUUGACUUCUAUGAGAGAUUAGAAUAGAUUGGAAAUAGAUUCACCAAGGAAUCACCAGAGUCCGGACAUUUCAUGAAGGCCACUAUCGCUCUGGCUUACCUUCGAUGAGAUGCGUAGUUGCCGGUGAUGUGUCCGCUGCCAUCACAGCCUGGAGUCGGACAUCUACAAUGUCAAGGACGGAGGGAACAGGCGGAAACUUGACUUUGAAGCUGCUGGUAGUAACUUCCCCAGGGUACUUCCUCUCCUCUAGGUUCUCCGGGUUCUCCGGGUUCUCCUGGUCCUCAUCCUCAGCAUCAGAAGACGUGUAUGAGGUGGCUGUAUAGUCUACCUGAUGACAAGUUGAUAAGACAAAAUUCUCCAGUGUACAGUUUCCGUACAUAGUUUCUAUCCAGCGUGCUCAGUGGGUGACUUUGAGUGGCUGUACCUCAUCGUGGCCUUCCUCCUUUACUCCACUUGAUUUCGUAAAAUCGAGUGGCCCCUCCCACUCGGGCUGAGCGUGGCCCUGAGAUGACACACCUAUUGUGUGUUGAGAAGACGAGGAGGAGGACGACGAAGGCUCCGGAGACUGCAUGCUCUCUCGCUUGUUUUUUUUAAUGCUGAGGUCCAAGGUGCCGUUCUCGUCCACUUCGAUGUCAGGCUCCUACAUGAACAAAAGAGAAGCUUGUCAAAGAACAGCAACCGCCCCGUCGGCUGUAAUGGGAGUGGAAUCCGUCGAACCUCGGCGCAGGGCUCCCUGGGAUUGGCGCUAAGGCUCUCCGGUCGUUCCCAACAGCGAGUGGACAGGUUGAGGAUAGCCGUCGCUGCCAUGUGAGCCGCCUCGGCGUCUUGACUGCAGUCGUACUCAUUGGAGGACAAAGUGCUGUUGGAAAUGCCUCCUGACCCUGUCCCGCUUGGAGAAGAGGCCUUAGGGAAGGAUUUUGCUGUGUGGGGAAGAGGCAAAGCCGAGGUUAGCUUCAACAUUUCUUCCAACUACGUAUCAACAAAUAAUGUACUGUAACAGACACAGCACAGCACAGCACAUUGUAAUGAUCUCCAGACAGAGACACUAUGUGAGAGUGACUGAGCGAGAUCAGAGCAAUCUCAUUGGCUGCUUUGUAAAACCUUUGUAUGAUGUCAUUGCCACAUGGUCAGCUCUUAUGAAGAAUAUUUGAUCAAAUGUUUGCCCAGAUAAUGAAUCUUUGACAAUCAAGAAAAUGUUUUCCUAAAACGGACCUCAUUAACUUGUAAUUGAGUAGCACUGGUAUCGCGAUAUUGUAUUGCGCGGUUUAGGAUGUUUCACUUACAUUUGAAGGCUUUGGGUAAUGUUUCAGUGGUGGUUGUCUUUGGAACAAGCAUACGCUUUCCAAACACCUGGACAUCAAAGCUUGCAUAGUCAAAAGACACCUUGGAAUAUUUCUCCAACUCUUUGGCCAGGUUUGCUCGUGGUGUGGUGGUGACCGCAUUGGGCCCGUAAUUGCCAUACUGAGGGAUCUCCAGCUGUUUCACAAAACACAUGGGCCUGGAAAGAAAAAAAUAGGAGUGACUAAUCAUCGCAAAUAUUAUUGGAUAAUAAUAAUAAUAAAGAUGCCUGACCUGA